RNAcentral lists this transfer RNA (72 nucleotides) under Sandaracinaceae bacterium. RNAcentral's name for it is "tRNA-Lys". It matches the Rfam family "tRNA". From Rfam's summary of the family: Transfer RNA (tRNA) molecules are approximately 80 nucleotides in length. Their secondary structure includes four short double-helical elements and three loops (D, anti-codon, and T loops). Further hydrogen bonds mediate the characteristic L-shaped molecular structure. tRNAs have two regions of fundamental functional importance: the anti-codon, which is responsible for specific mRNA codon recognition, and the 3' end, to which the tRNAs corresponding amino acid is attached (by aminoacyl-tRNA synthetases). tRNAs cope with the degeneracy of the genetic code in two manners: having more than one tRNA (with a specific anti-codon) for a particular amino acid; and 'wobble' base-pairing, i.e. permitting non-standard base-pairing at the 3rd anti-codon position. The record is from RNAcentral. Lineage: Bacteria; Pseudomonadati; Myxococcota; Polyangiales; Sandaracinaceae.
GGGCCGUUAGCUCAGCGGUAGAGCAGCGGGCUUUUAACCCGACGGUCGCAGGUUCGAUCCCUGCACGGCCCA